CGUGUCACAAACUUUUGUCCCUUUUUGUCCCUUUUGUCCCCAUCUUGGCAGGACUUUGGAUGGGCAGAGCCCCCCCCGGCCAUGGGGCAGAGCGAGUCGGAGCCGCAGGACGAGGCCGAGGACGGGCCCCUGAGGGCGGUGCUGCCGCGGUUCUUGACCGACCGGCUCCCGACCAGCGUGGUAGUGGGGGCCCUCCUGGGCCUCGGCCUGGCCGUGGUGGCGGUGGUGACGGCCGUGGUGGCCCUGCUGCACCGGCUGCGCCUUAAGGGUG
Long non-coding RNA from Empidonax traillii (willow flycatcher), 271 nucleotides. RefSeq lists it as uncharacterized. The record is from RefSeq and is a predicted model, not a curated record. Lineage: Eukaryota; Metazoa; Chordata; Aves; Passeriformes; Tyrannidae. The transcript has 3 exons.